GGCGCCCGGCUAGGCGCGCGGGGUGGUCGGCGCUGGGGAAGGCGCGGGUGCGUGGGGGUGUCCUGGCGCGAGGGCGUCGCGGUCGCGCGCGAGGCUCCCGGAGCUGUCAGGGGCGGCAGACUGACCACACAGCCCAGCAAACCUCGCCUGUCCGCCUCGGCCCGGCUGGGCCGCGGGCACCGAGGCGCCCAGCAGCGUUUCCCGAAGGACCAAUCCCGAGCUGGGGGCCGGCUCAGGGACCGGGCAAGGAGGGCCGGCCGGGCGCUGGGACGCGGGCCUGGACCUGGUAGGCCGGUUUCUAUGGCAGCCAGGAGGGAGGGGCUGGAGAGAGAAGGGCGUGCGGCGCAGGGACACCCAUUGCAGACUCUCCGGGAGGGGGUUCGGGCCUGCAGCAGAGAGGAUUCCUCCCAGAGAGUGGAUGGAAAGCGGCGACACAGCAGCCAGAGGGUUGACACAGCUCGUUAUCAGUUUAAGUGCGCUGAGCCACUUCAGCUCUUGAGCGAGGCUUCUGGUGUCCUUGGGAGACCGCAACACAGUAAUCCUCCCAACCGAUCGGGAGUUUCUGGCAAAGCACUAUGACAGUUUCUCCGGGUUUGGAUAUUGGACAAAUCUUAGAAGAGGAUAUCAAUCAAAUUUUUCUAAAACUGCACAACUGUUACAAAGUUGGAUCUACAACUGGAAAGGGGCCAACUUGUCCCAGGAAAAUGUGUUGUAUUUACCUUGUUCAGGAUCUGUAUCCUACCCAAGUCUGAGAACUCAUGUCUUUCAACAAUUCAGAAAUAUUUCCAGAUAAUAUCUUUGAACAUGAAAGAUACGUCUUAGUUUGGGUUGCUAUAGAAAAUUACCACAGAUUGGGUGAUUUAACCAGCAAACAUCUACUUAUAGUUCUGGAACUAGAAGUCUGAGAUCAGGGUGUCAACACAGUCAGGGGCUGCCAAGGGCCCUCUUAUGGGUUGCAGACUGCCAACUUCUUAUCAUAUCCUCACGCAGCAGAAGGCAAAAUGAGAGAGCCUACUGAAAUCUUUUGUAAGGGCAUUAAUCCUGUUCAUAAGAUUAGUUCCACCCUCAUGACCUAAUUACCUCCCAAAGCCCCACCUCCUGGUACCAUCGGAUUGGGAGUUAGGAUUUCAACAUAUGAAUUUUCUGGAGGAGGGGGGACACAAACAUUUAGUCCAUACAGACCCCUUCCCAAGUUUUGUUUUUCUUUCAGGAGCUCCCACUGGACAUUACGUGUGUCAGAACUCAUUCUGUCUCAUCCUUUCUCAUGUUCUGUAGAUUUUUACCUUGACUGCUACAUUCUAGGAACCUUUUAGGAACUAAUAUUUCCUAAAAUAUGAUGAUGAAACAUUUAUCUGAAGUUUAGAAGUUUAUUAUGCUUUUCUUUUUAUUUCUGUUAAAUUCAAGCAAAAUUAAA
This is a long non-coding RNA of Sciurus carolinensis (gray squirrel), 1414 nucleotides long. RefSeq lists it as uncharacterized. The record is from RefSeq and is a predicted model, not a curated record. The transcript is spliced from 3 exons. NCBI's taxonomy places the organism in Eukaryota, Metazoa, Chordata, Mammalia, Rodentia, Sciuridae.